UGGGCGUAGGAAAUUUGAGAGGAGCUGUCCUUAGUACGAGAGGACCGGGAUGGACGCACCGCUGGUGUACCAGUUGUUCUGCCAAGGGCAUAGCUGGGUAGCUAUGUGCGGAAGGGAUAAGUGCUGAAAGCAUCUAAGCAUGAAGCCCCCCUCAAGAUGAGAUUUCCCAUAGCGUAAGCUAGUAAGAUCCCUGAAAGAUGAUCAGGUUGAUAGGUUCGAGGUGGAAGCAUGGUGACAUGUGGAGCUGACGAAUACUAAUAGAUCGAGGACUUAACCAUAUAA
RNAcentral lists this ribosomal RNA (282 nucleotides) under Bacillus anthracis (anthrax bacterium). RNAcentral describes it as "partial 23S ribosomal RNA". It matches the Rfam family "Bacterial large subunit ribosomal RNA", at positions 2648 to 2925 of the family's 2925-position model. The record is from RNAcentral. Lineage: Bacteria; Bacillati; Bacillota; Bacilli; Caryophanales; Bacillaceae.